Non-coding RNA from Trichonephila inaurata madagascariensis, 85 nucleotides. The record is from the annotation of a GenBank genome assembly. NCBI's taxonomy places the organism in Eukaryota, Metazoa, Arthropoda, Arachnida, Araneae, Nephilidae.
GGUAGCGUGGCUUCGAGUGGUUCAAGGCGCUGGUUUUAGGCACCAGUUUUCUGGAGAGGCGUGGGUUCGAAUCCCACCGCUGCUG